GACUCUUAAUAAUCUCACUUAAUUACAAAGAAAUGAAACAUUAACGCACACAUUUAUAAUAUAUAUGCUUGAGAUUUUUUUAUGUAUUCUUUUCUUUUUUUUGAUAAGCUAGGAAAACUUCAUUGAUAUAAAGCAUACACACAGAAACUUGGGAUUUUGUGGAAGAACUAAUCUUGAUGAUCAAGUCGAAAACGGUUGAAAAACCACGCUUAAUUUGAUUGUACGUUAUCAGGAAGAAAAAAAAAAUCGAGGUUUUCAUAUGGUUGUUGUGGGAUUAUGGAUUCAUCUUCAUUAGUUUGUGGUAAG
Molecule: long non-coding RNA, 306 nt
Filed under: Panax ginseng (ginseng)
Lineage: Eukaryota; Viridiplantae; Streptophyta; Magnoliopsida; Apiales; Araliaceae
Description: long non-coding RNA (PGIN_LNC001555)
Source: RNAcentral